RNAcentral lists this ribosomal RNA (1112 nucleotides) under Mystacoleucus lepturus. Its description in RNAcentral is "partial large subunit ribosomal RNA". The stretch from base 180 to 1091 matches the Rfam family "Bacterial large subunit ribosomal RNA", at positions 568 to 2044 of the family's 2925-position model. Lineage: Eukaryota; Metazoa; Chordata; Actinopteri; Cypriniformes; Cyprinidae. The record is from RNAcentral.
CAGCUAGCUUAGCACCAAAUAAAUAAACAAUAUAAAUAAAACAAAAUAAACCUAACACCAAAAACUAAACCAUUCUUUUACCUUAGUAUGGGAGACAGAAAAGGUCCCACCAAAGCAAUAGAAAAAGUACCGCAAGGGAAAGCUGAAAGAGAAAUGAAAUAACCCAUAUAAGCAUUAAAAAGCAAAGAUUAAGCCUUGUACCUUUUGCAUCAUGAUUUAGCCAGUACACCCAAGCAAAGAGACCUUUAGUUUGAAACCCCGAAACCAGGUGAGCUACCCCGAGACAGCCUAUUAUAGGGCCAACCCGUCUCUGUGGCAAAAGAGUGGGAAGAGCUCCGGGUAGAAGUGACAGACCUACCGAACCUGGUGAUAGCUGGUUGCCUAAGAAAUGGAUAGAAGUUCAGCCUCGUACACCUCUAAUCAAACAAACAUAAAUAAGACCCUAAGAGAUAUGCACGAGAGUUAGUUGAAGGGGGUACAGCCCCUUUAACAAAGGACACAACCUUCUCAGGAGGAUAAAGAUCAUAAUAUACAAAACACACUGUUCUAGUGGGCCUAAAAGCAGCCAUCUAAACAGAAAGCGUUAAAGCUCAGACAGACAAAAGUUUAUUAUUCCGAUAAAAAAUCUUACUCCCCUAAACACUAUUAGGCCCACCCAUGCCCCCAUGGGAGAGAUUAUGCUAAAAUGAGUAACAAGAAGGCCCGCCCUUCUCCAAGCACAAGUGUAAGCCAAACCGGACCAACCAUUGGCAACUAACGAACUCAACCCAAGAGAGCAAUGUGGACUACAAAAAAACCAAGAAGAACCCACAACCAAACCAUCGUUACCCCCACACUGGAGUGCACCUAAAGGAAAGACUAAAAGAAAAGGAAGGAACUCGGCAAACACAAGCCUCGCCUGUUUACCAAAAACAUCGCCUCCUGCAACACAACCAAGUAUAGGAGGUCCAGCCUGCCCGGUGACCACAAGUUUAACGGCCGCGGUAUUUUGACCGUGCAAAGGUAGCGCAAUCACUUGUCUUUUAAAUAGAGACCUGUAUGAAUGGCCAAACGAGGGCUUAACUGUCUCCCCUUUCCAGUCAGUGAAAUUGAUCUGCCCGUGCAGAAGCGAC